ACACUCCUACGGGAGGCAGCAGUGGGGAAUUUUGGACAAUGGGCGAAAGCCUGAUCCAGCAAUGCCGCGUGAGUGAAGAAGGCCUUCGGGUUGUAAAGCUCUUUUGUCAGGGAAGAAACGGUGAGAGCUAAUAUCUUUUGCUAAUGACGGUACCUGAAGAAUAAGCACCGGCUAACUACGUGCCAGCAGCCGCGGUAAUACGUAGGGUGCAAGCGUUAAUCGGAAUUACUGGGCGUCAAGCGUGCGCAGGCGGUUUUGUAAGUCUGAUGUGAAAUCCCCGGGCUCAACCUGGGAAUUGCAUUGGAGACUGCAAGGCUAGAAUCUGGCAGAGGGGGGUAGAAUUCCACGUGUAGCAGUGAAAUGCGUAGAUAUGUGGAGGAACACCGAUGGCGAAGGAAGCCCCCUGGGUCAAGAUUGACGCUCAUGCACGAAAGCGUGGGGAGCAAACAGGAUUAGAUACCCCAGUAGUCCCAUGA
This 476-nucleotide ribosomal RNA is filed under the name uncultured organism. RNAcentral describes it as "partial 16S ribosomal RNA". It matches the Rfam family "Bacterial small subunit ribosomal RNA", at positions 333 to 800 of the family's 1533-position model. The record is from RNAcentral.